This is a long non-coding RNA of Equus caballus (horse), 3824 nucleotides long. The record is from Ensembl. Lineage: Eukaryota; Metazoa; Chordata; Mammalia; Perissodactyla; Equidae.
CAGGUUUCCAUUCACCAUAGGUCCCUCCACCCUUUUCAGCAAGAACUGUACCGGGUAGCAGUGGGAAUGUUGUGGAGCCUUCCCCUUACCAUACCCAGGCACACACACACACAGACACACUACAGACACACUUGCUACACAAUGUAAACACAGAGAGACACAUACGCAAUUGUGCACAUGCACACACUCAGACAGAUACACAGAGACUAUUAUGCACACAGAGAGACAUAUACACACAUGUGCAUGUGCACACGUGUGUACAUGUCUACAUACGGAUAUACAUGUGCACAAAUGAACAUGUAAAUUUGUGUACAAAUGCAUACACGAAUGCACACAUAGACAGACAGACACAUAUGCAGAUACACAUACAUGCACACACACACUUAAGCACACAUCCACAGGGACAAGAUGAUGCCAUUUGCAUUUGGUGGAAAGUUCUGGGAGCAAAAUGGAGGAGGAAUGAGGGACAGGGAAAGCAGAGGCCACUCAGGAUAUUUCAGUCAGAGAUCUCAUCCCAAUACUUCCAAGUCUCGAGGUAGGAAAGGGGCAGCAGCAGCAGAGGGAGGAGGUGGACUGCGGGCAUGCAUCUGAGCAAGGCCCCAGGUGGUGUGGGGAACAGAAGUGAAGGGUACAGAGGGUCAGUGAGGUCUCCCAGGGUCUCACUGGGAGCAGUGAUGAGAAUACAGAACACAGGAGCCAGGGUACAUUUGAGAGGAAGGAGAUCAAUUCCGCCUGCAGGGAGAAAGGCAACUGCAAUGGGAGCCGUGGGCAUCCUUGUGGGGAUGUUUAGAGCGGGCUGGAUGCUUUGCUUGGAGUUCAGGAGGUCUGGCGGGAAAGGGGAGGUGAGGGGACGUCAGCUCCAAGGUGGGAUCUGUAGCCUGGACUGGACCAACUCUCCCAGGGAUGCUCGAGGGACGGGGCUUGUCGAGGAUCCCUGGGGCUCGUACAAUAAAGGCCAAGGCGAGGUGGAGGAUACACACAAGGAAGCCAUUGUUUAUCUUGCUAACUCUCAAUGCAGAUGUUUACUACUUCCCAUUCUGAUGACAUUCUCCCUUCCAGAUAUGUUUUUUUCAGAAGGAAUCAAACCCAAGAGUAAUGAUGGCUAAUUACAAAAAUUUAAGAACAUCCAUUCACAGGAUCCAAACAAUAUAAUCACCAACUACACGGCAAACUUGAAGGGCCUUUAUGAAGGUCAGGGAGUGGCAGGAUCCUGUCUCCAGGUCAGCCACCUUCACUGGCUUAGAGUCUCAAUUCUGUUAUUCUGAGCAUCAGGUGAGCUUGGGCCAGAGUUUCCUCUCGUGUCUUUGGUGAUGUCUCCCGGGGAGAGCAGAGCAUCUUCCUGACCACUGCGUGAGUGGGCAGUUCAGCGAGGCCUUGGGCAGAUUUUCAUCCACCAUAGGUCCCUGCCAACCCCUUACUUCUGGUGAAAUUAUGGGCAAGUCAGGUAGCCUUUCUAAGAUGUAGUUUCUUCAGCAAAGUCAUGGUUUGGAAGGAACUUUGCAUAUUUUAAGUCUACCUAUUAAUGUGAAGAAUGUUGUCCCUAUUAUGUGUUUAUAUUUUGCAAGGUACUACACUGUGGUCAAUAUUAAAAGUCAAACACAUUAUUAUCAAACAUGUUAUAAAUUUCCAAAAUCCAUAGUGCUGUUGAAACAAUAUUUGAGGUCUGCAAAUAUCUAGAUGACACCAGUCCCUACACGGGGACCAUCACAGCCUCACCUCCUCUGUGCCUCUUCUUGGUAUUUUUGUGACCUGGACCGCCGUGACACUCGGCCUUGGGCUCCAGGCCUCCCUAACACCUCACCUCCCACUAAAGAGUCCAGCGUUUCUUCCCCCUCUCUGCCCAUUUGUCUCCCCAUGUCCGCCUUUCCUCUCUGGGUGAUUGUCAGCUUUCCAGCCUAACUCUUGUCCACCUGGGCCUGAGGAGACAAGUGGUCCCCUCUCUUUGCCUUUUCUCUGGUAUAUGCCCAUGUCUGGAUCUUCCCUCUCCCUCACCCAUGAAAGGAUUAUUUCAUUCAGUCCUGAGAUUUAACCUCAGCCUCUCAAGGAACGUGAGCCGCAGAAGACACAGGCAGGAGCUGGUGCUGGGAAACCAGAUCCUGGUGGGUGGCCAUGUCCAAGAUCUUGGGAAUAGCAUGAAUAUGUGUGCUCAUCAUCGGAACAAAACUGCACUUGAUUUCAGGGGACAGAGCUUGACAAUGGUAAUGGUUUAGAGGAUCUGGAGCCCUCAAUAGCAUCAGGGCAGAGGAAGGGCCGGCCACACAGUCAUAAUAAUUUUUAUCCUAUGUUCCCAAAUUACCUAGUAAAUGGAUAGAUAGAUGGUGAAUAAAUGGAUAGUGGGUGGGUGAGUGGAUGAAUGGAUAGUGGAUGGUUGAUGGAAGGACUGAAGGAUGGUGGGUGGAUAGUAGGUGGAUGGAUUGAUAGUAGGUAGUGAAUGUAUGGUGAAAGGAUGGAAGGAUGGUGGACGGAUGGUGGGUGGAUGGAUGGAUGGUGGUUAGGUGGGUGAUGGAUGGAUAGUGGAUAGAUGAGUAGAUGGAUAGAUAGAUCAAUGUAUGGAAGGAUGGAUAGAUGUUGCAUGGAUGGGGGAUAAAUGACAGGAUUUUGAAUGGAUAGUGGGAGGAGGGAUGGAUGAUGGCUGCCUGGCUGGAUAGUGUAUAGAUGAGCAGAUGACUGGAUGGAUGGAUAGAUGAGGGACGCAUGGUGGAUAAAUAGGUGGGUGGACGGAUGAAUGGACGAAUGGAUGAAUGGCUAGAUGGAUGGAAGGAUGAUGGAUGGAUGGAUGGUGAAUGAAUAGAUGAACAGAUGAGGGAUAGAUGAAUGGAUGAAUAAAUGGUGGAUGGAUGGCUUGUGGAUGUGUGCACGAUGGAUGGUGGAUAGAUGGAUGGAUGGAUGGAUGGCUAGAUGGAUGGAUGAAUGAAUACCUAUGAGGCAACGAUUGCCAAGGCACACUUGGACACUUCUAAGGUAAGUGAGUCUAAUCCAAUUGAGCAUCACUGUGAGCUCUAUGCACAGCUGCUCCAUCUACUGCUCUUCCUUUCUCGUCCCUACCUUAUUCUGGAUUGGGGAGAUGUCCAAUUCUGACAAGGUUGUGGUCCUUUCACAGUUCUCCUCUCAAUGAGCUCAUCAACAGCCCCUCCCCUUCAGGAUAUUAGGGUCUUCGCAGUUUCUGUGGAAAUCUCAUCGGACAUUUCCCACCAGUGUCAGCUUCCUCAGCUGACGCGAUGGGACGGCAGACUCAAGUGGAGGGACAACUUGCUGUUUGCCUCUCGUAUCUCCAUCAACCAUAUGAUCUCUUUCCUUGUUUCACCUGACUUCACAGCCCAUUUUCCUGAGCCAUGGACAUCUGCUCUGACAUUAGUCAUUUUAAAGACAUCUGGGCUCAGUCCCUUCAAUCUUGUUACAUUUUUCUCCAUAAAGCCCUUAUUACCGACAUCUUUUUUCCCAAGCUUUCAGGAAAAUGGUAUACAAAGUGCUGAGCAGGAACCAUUGAUAUCACCAGAGUAAAGUGAUGCCAUCCCUGCCACCCUUCGGCUUCAGAAUGAACUUCAAGGUUUUUGGAAUUCAGAACGCACAACAUGGGGGUGUCCCUCCCUCUCGUCCCACCCCUGAGCUCCCCAAUACCAAUCCUGGGGUACUGGAAACAGGCCUCAUCUCCUACCUGCACAUUGGAGCCAGGCAGUGGCCUGCCAUAUAGGUCCUAUGUCUUCUAAUUAUUAAUGUGCUGGUGUUUCUAGGACACUUCACACGAUAAAGAUGGUGGUGGUGUUAAUGAAAAUAAGGGAGAGUCACCACCAUGUACUAAGAACUAAUUACAGUGUGGUUCCCUG